This 254-nucleotide ribosomal RNA is filed under the name uncultured bacterium. RNAcentral describes it as "partial 16S ribosomal RNA". It matches the Rfam family "Bacterial small subunit ribosomal RNA", at positions 524 to 776 of the family's 1533-position model. The record is from RNAcentral.
UACGGGGGGAGCAAGCGUUGUUCGGAUUUACUGGGCGUAAAGGGCGCGUAGGCGGCCAGCACAAGUCAGUUGUGAAAUCUCCGGGCUUAACUCGGAAAGGUCAACUGAUACUGUGCGGCUAGAGUGCAGAAGGGGCAACUGGAAUUCUCGGUGUAGCGGUGAAAUGCGUAGAUAUCGAGAGGAACACCUGCGGCGAAGGCGGGUUGCUGGGCUGACACUGACGCUGAUGCGCGAAAGCCAGGGGAGCAAACGGG